This 275-nucleotide ribosomal RNA is filed under the name uncultured bacterium. Its description in RNAcentral is "partial 16S ribosomal RNA". It matches the Rfam family "Bacterial small subunit ribosomal RNA", at positions 399 to 691 of the family's 1533-position model. The record is from RNAcentral.
GCGUGGGUGAAGAAGGUCUUCGGAUCGUAAAGCCCUUUCGACAGGGACGAUGAUGACGGUACCUGUAGAAGAAGCCCCGGCUAACUUCGUGCCAGCAGCCGCGGUAAUACGAAGGGGGCUAGCGUUACUCGGAAUUACUGGGCGUAAAGGGCGCGUAGGCGGCUUGGCCAGUCAGGCGUGAAAUUCCUGGGCUUAACCUGGGGACUGCGCUUGAUACUGCUGAGCUUGAGGCCGAGAGAGGGUGGUGGAAUUCCCAGUGUAGAGGUGAAAUUCGU